RNAcentral lists this ribosomal RNA (454 nucleotides) under uncultured bacterium. Its description in RNAcentral is "bacterial SSU rRNA". It matches the Rfam family "Bacterial small subunit ribosomal RNA", at positions 340 to 786 of the family's 1533-position model. The record is from RNAcentral.
UACGGAAGGCAGCAGUGGGGAAUAUUGCACAAUGGGCGAAAGCCUGAUGCAGCUAUGCCGCGUGUAUGAAGAAGGCCUUAGGGUUGUAAAGUACUUUCAUCGGGGAGGAAAAAACAAAACUAAUAAUUUUAUUUCUUGACGUUACCCGAAAAAGAAGCACCGGCUAACUCCGUGCCAGCAGCCGCGGUAAUACGGAGGGUGCUAGCGUUAAUCAGAAUUACUGGGCGUAAAGAGCACGUAGGUGGUUUUUUUAAAGUCAGAUGUGAAUCCCUGGGCUUAACCUAGGAACUGCAUUUGAAACUGAAAUACUAGAGUAUCGUAGAGGGAGGUAGAAUUCUAGGUGUAGCGGUGAAAUGCGUAGAUAUCUGGAGGAAUACCUGUGGCGAAAGCGGCCUCCUAAACGAAUACUGACACUGAGGUGCGAAAGCGUGGGGAGCAAACAGGAUUAGAUACC